UAAAACCCCUACCCCAAAUAUAGUCAUAAAAGUUAAUAAAAACACAAAAAGAUUUUCAUAAAUUCCCGACAACAACGUCAAAAUUUCUCCGGCUGGUCUUCUUGCAUGGCUGAGCAGCCGCGGUAGCGCACAACCAGCCACCACACCGCUGUCCAGCGCCACCGCUGCUCCGCCUUGCCGGAAUUUCUAUACGUUGUAACAUAUGCUAUAUAUAUAGAGAUAGAUUUAUAAAUAAUAAUGGCAAAUAUGUUUGAAGAGAGCCGAAUAUCGACGGCGGUGGGCAUCGACAAAGACAAGAACAGCCAAUCCGCCGUGAAAUGGGCCCUCGAAAAAUUGAGGUUGAAAGAUAACCACAUUCUCCUCGUGCACGUUAAAAUCCAACAUGGCCCUGAUUCGCAUGAUGCUCCUAGAGAGGGCAGAGAGCCAACUCCAGCUGAAACACAGCAACUAUUCCUUCCUUACCGCGGUUUUUGUGCUCGAAAAGGGAUUCGUUCGAAAGAGGUGGUUCUGCAAGGCAACGAUGUGGCAAGCACGCUCGCAGAGUAUGCCAGCCGGAACUCUAUCGUGAACGUGGUUGUAGGCACUUCGAGUCGAGGUGCCAUAGCAAGGGCCUUCAAGAAUCCGGAUGUUCCAAGUUAUUUGAUGAAAAUUGCACCUGAUUUCUGCAACGUGUACUCUGUGUCAAAGUCGAAAGCGCAGAAACUGAAAUCUGCCAAUGAUUCCGGGACCCCCAGCAGCACAGCCAGCUCGUGCUCAGUAGACAGCUCAUUUCCUUCAAAAUUUCGCCCUCAGGAGAGCUGGAAAAGCUCCGUCUCUGACGCCUGCGAUCUGGAUGGGGGCAAGAAUGCGUCGCCUUUCAACAGCAGAGAGUCUCGUCAGAUCACUCCGAGGGACUGGGCUUUUGGCAGAAUACCUUCACCUCAGCAUUCAAAUGAAUCUCUCCAAAGGGGAUCAGCAAACACUAGCUAUGAAUCUAUCGGCUUAGGCAGCUAUUACAGCAACAGCAAUGUCUCAGGGGCCAGCGACAGUGAAACCGGGCAUAUGCCUCGGCCCAAGAAGCUAGACCCCGAUGUGUCAGAUAUCCUACAAUCUAUGAGGAACCAGAAUCUUCAAGUUCGAACCAGGGACAGUCCACAGUACUCCAUGGCUUCUUCGAGUGAUCAUUCGGAUAUGCAGAGUUUCCCUUCGGAUGUGUCGUACGAACAUCUGGACCAGUUCCGGAUGUCUUUAUCUUCGAGAAGCUCUAUCUGCUCACAAACAGCUGAUGUAGAGGACGAGCUCAGAAGAUUAAAACACGAGAUGAAGCGAAUCACAAUGAUGUAUAAUCUAGUUUGUCAAGAAUCUGAGACGGCUACUGAUAAGGAUGCCGGCGGCCAAGGAGACGGUAACCAUUCCCAAGAGUCUGCAUUGGCCAUGGUUGAGAGGGAGAAGUUGAAGUGCAAGGCCGCAGUUGAGCUUGCACAGACAGCACAACGCAUAGCAGAGCUGGAGUCGGAAAAGAGAAAGUCUGCAGAGAAGAAGUUCAGAGUGGAGGCCGAAGAAAAGGAGAAGGCGAUUCACGCACUAGCAAAUACCGAGGUUCAAUACAGAAAGUACACGAUGGAGGAAAUCCAAGAAGCCACAAAAUAUUUCGCUGGUUCAGAAAAGAUCGGUGAGGGCGGAUAUGGGCCUGUCUUUAAAGCAAGUCUUGAUCACACACCCGUUGCCAUUAAGGUUCUCAGGCCGGACAUGUCACAAGGCGAAAAGCAGUUCCAGAGAGAGGUCGAGGUGCUGAGCCGUAUGAGGCAUCCCAACAUGGUUAUCCUUUUAGGCGCUUGCCCUGAGUACGGUUGCCUCGUGUAUGAGCACAUGGAAAACGGCAGUUUAGAAGACAGGCUAAACUGCCUAAACGGCAGCCCUCCUUUAUCGUGGAGGGCCCGUUUCCGGAUAGCUGUAGAAAUCGCCACUGCCCUGAAUUUCCUGCAUCGGACAAGGCCAGAGCCCCUCGUGCACCGUGACCUCAAGCCGGCCAAUAUCCUCUUAGACAGGAAUUUAGUGAGUAAGAUCAGCGAUGUCGGCCUAUCCAGGCUGGUCCCACCGUCAGUAGCUGAUUCCAUCACUCAAUGCUGCAUGACUGCUGCAGCGGGCACGUUUUGCUACAUAGAUCCCGAGUACCAGCAAACUGGAAUGUUGGGAACGAAAUCGGACGUGUAUUCAUUCGGUGUGGUGCUGCUGCAAAUUCUUACCGCGAAACCAGCUAUGGGAUUGACCCAUCUAGUCGAAACGGCAAUAGAGAACGGCAAGUUUGCAGAGGUGCUUGAUCAGACAGUGAAAGACUGGCCAGUCGAGGAGGCCCUAGCCAUGGCGAAAUUGGCCUUACACUGCUGUGAACUGAGGAAGAGAGAUCGACCGGACCUUGAUUCAGUGAUAUUACCAGAACUGCAUCGAAUAAGAGAAACAGACUCACAGAUCAAACCUGAAGACAGACUCUACUAAAUGCAUUCACCAAUUCAAAUUUGUAAAGACCGCUCACCUCCAAUACAUGGACGACUGGAGAGAAUAAACCGAUAAACAAAAUGUACUUACGAUGGAGAUGAAGCAGUCUAUACCAUGUCCAGCACUUGCUGGUGGCGAAAACCUUAGAUGAGGCGAGAGAUGCACAUUUUUAUUUUUUCCUUUUUUGCAGAACCUGAAACUCGAGCACAAACACAGAGAAAGAGCGAGCAAGAGAGUACCAAAACAGAAGGGGUAGCAAACCAAACGGGCUGUCGUAUCUUAUUUCAGCUGUAUUCUAAAUAGUUUAUGUAGGUGUUACAACGUUCUCGGGGAUAAAUACCAUGACUAAUUUUUCCUGCCAA
RNA transcript from Salvia miltiorrhiza (redroot sage), 2837 nucleotides. It is a transcript of the gene named U-box domain-containing protein 35-like, with no coding region annotated. Lineage: Eukaryota; Viridiplantae; Streptophyta; Magnoliopsida; Lamiales; Lamiaceae. The transcript has 8 exons. The record is from RefSeq and is a predicted model, not a curated record.